CGUGGGGCGGGCGUCCGCGAGAGAGCAACCGCGGCGGUUUUCCCGGCGUGCGCCUCCGUGCCGCACAGCUCCUCCCUCCUCUGCCUACCACUGAGUUUGCUGGAUGAUCAAGGGGGUUCCAAGGCAGCCCAGGAAAAAGCCUCCACAGCAAGCAGCACUUCCUUGCCUGUCCAGACCAGGAAAUAACAGAGCUCCCCUCAGCUGGGCCCAAGUGGAGCAUGAGCAGGGGUCACUGGCCAGUUCAGAAACUCCCCUUCGGGGUGACCUGGGCUCCUUCCUCAGUUCUGAGGCCCUGAGUCUGGCACCCUGGCCAUGUGCAGCCCUGAGGAGGCAGCCCUGCUGCGGCUGGAGGAGGUCUUCUCAGCCACACUCGCACGCAUCAACAGCUUUGUCCUCCAGCCCCUUCUGGAGGCCGUGUGCUUGUGCUCCUGCUCCAGCUCCAGAGCCCUCAGAUCCCUGGGGCAGAGAGUGCCUACGGCUCCUGCAGCAGGUGCACAGGAGCUCCCAGCAGCUGUGGGAGGUGAUGGAGGAAAGCCUGCACUCAUUGCAGAAGAGGCUGCGCCACCCGGACUCCAUCAGUCUGGAAUCCCUGCUGCUGCUGCACAGCGCUGACCGUGUCCUGCAGGUCCACCUGGAGUACCUCGAGUCCUACACAAGCUGCGUGGCAGUGCAGGCCUUUCAGAAGGCAGUAAAGAGGAGGAGAGAGUACUGGCAGGGCCAGCGGAAGGCGCUGCAGCAGCUCCUGUCGGGCAUGAACUCAGAGGGCUCGGUGGGCACAGCGCUGGUCCAGGCCCUCCGCCAGCCACUCACCCAUCAUGUGCAGCAGUACGUGCUCCUCCUGCUGAGCCUCGGGGACACUGUCGGGGAGCGUCACCCCGCCCGGGAGCUGUUGGUGCACGCAGCCACAGUCUUUGGGAACUUGCAGUCCUUCAUGAGGCAGGAGCUGGACCAGGCCAUGGCCACGCAGGCCCUCUGGCACACUCUGAGCAGCCGGCUGAGGGAUGUGCUCUGUACCCCCGCUCACCGACUCUUGCAAGACAGCCAGGACAUACCUGUGACGGUCACCCCGCUGAGGGCAGAGCGUGUGCUGCUCUUUGAUGAUGCCCUUGUCCUGCUACAGGGCCACAGUGUCUACACCUUUGAUCUGAAGCUGGUGUGGGUGGAACCUGGGCAGGACGGGUGCAUGUUUCACCUCCUCACACCUGAGGAAGAGUUCUCCUUUUGCUCCAAGGACCCGCAGGGCCGGGUGGCCUGGCAGUGGAAGGUUACCCAGGCUGUGUGCCAGACCUUGCGUGGGAAGAAGGACUUCCCGGUGCUGGGGGCGGGCCUGGAGCCUUCUGAACCCCCCACCUGCCGCUGUGGAGCAUACACCUUCCGUGCGGAGGGCCGCUUCAGCCAGGCCACCUAUGAGGGCGAGUGGUACGGGGGCAGGCCCCAUGGCAAGGGAACCCUGAAGUGGCCAGACGGGCGGAAUCAUGUGGGGGAUUUCUGCCAGGGCCUGGAGCACGGCUUUGGCAUCCGCCUGGUGCCCCAGGCCUCCGAGGAUAAGUUUGACUGUUACAAGUGCCACUGGCGGGAAGGCAACAUGUGCGGCUAUGGCAUCUGUGAGUACAGCACCAGCGAGGUGUACAAGGGCUACUUUCAGGAAGGCCUGCGGCAUGGAUUUGGGGUCCUUGAGAGCACCCCGCAGACCCCUCAGCCCUGCAGGUACACGGGCCACUGGGAGAGGGGCCAGAGGAGUGGCUAUGGCAUCGAGGAGGAUGGCGACAGGGGUGAGCGCUAUAUUGGCAUGUGGCAGGCUGACCAACGCCAUGGCCCAGGGGUCAUGGUCACCCAGGCAGGUGCCUGCUACCAGGGGACCUUCCAGGCAGAUAAGAUGGUGGGCCCAGGGAUCCUUCUCUCGGAAGACGACUCCUUGUAUGAGGGCACCUUCACCAGGGACCUGACCCUCAUGGGGAAGGGCAAGGUCACCUUCCCUAAUGGCUUCACCCUGGAGGGCUCUUUUGGCAGUGGGGCAGGGAGAGGACUGCAUACCCAGGGUGUGCUGGACACAGCUGCCCUCCCUCCAGAUCCAGGCAGUACCCGCAAGAGGCAGCUGGGCCUGGGCGUCUUCCCCGUGGAGAACCGCUGGCAGGGCGUCUAUGGCCCCUUCCAGGACUUUGUUCAAGCUGGCUGCCCUGGAGACCUGCAGGAGGCCCUGCUGGGCUUCCACGUGCAGAGCUCAAGGGAGCUGCGGAAGUCCCAGGAGUACCUGUGCUGCGAGAGGACCCACCCCGAGGACCACGCAGGCAGAAUGGAGGACAUCCUGGAGGAGCUGCUGCAGCACCGGGCGCCCGAGGCCCUGCAGCAGUGCCUCAAGAAGGCCCUGAACAACUCUCUGCAUCCCCUGGGAAAGCUGCUCCGGACUCUGAUGCUGACCUUCCAGGCCACAUACUCAGGCAUUGGGGCCAACAAGCACCUGCAGGGGCUGGCGCAGGAGGAGGUGAAGCAGCACGCCCAGGAACUCUGGGCCGCCUACAGGGGUCUGCUGCAGGUUGCCUUACAGUGCAAGGGCCAGGCCCCAGAGGAAGAUGAAGAUGCAGAGACAAGGGAACUGCAUGUGCACAGAUUGGUGCUACCCCUUGUCCUGCCCAGCUUCUACUCGGAGCUCUUCACUCUCUACCUGCUUCUUCAUGAGAGGGAGGACAGCCUCUACAGCCAGGGCAUUGCCAACCUGAGCCUCUUCCCCGACACCAAGCUGCUUGAGUUCCUGGACGUACAGAAGCACUUGUGGCCCCUGAAGGACCUCACGCUGACGACCAAUCAGAGAUACUCCCUGGUCAGAGACAAGUGCUUCCUGUCAGCCACGGAAUGUCUGCAGAAGAUGAUCUACCCUGCUGCAGCACCACGGUGGACCCCCGGGAGAAGCUGGAGGUGCUGGAGAGGACAUAUGGGGAAAUUGAGGCCACUGUGUCGCGGGUGCUCGGCCAGGAGCACAAGCUGCCCAUGGACGACCUGCUGCCGCUGCUCAUCUACGUGGUGUCGCGUGCCCAAAUCCAGCACCUGGGAGCCGAGAUCCACCUGAUCCGUGAUAUGAUGGCCCCUAUCCACACAGGAGGCCUGUAUGACUUCUUGCUCACGGCCCUGGAGUCCUGUUACGAGCACAUCCAGAAGGAGGACAUGAGGCUGCAUCGCUUGCCCAGCCGCUAGAACUCCAGGGAACCGUGGUAGCUCAGCUUCUCCUGGACAAACCUCAGAGCUGAGAGGGGCCACCGUGGAAUUCCCGUGGAGUGAGCGUGGCCCAGUCUGGCCCUUGUGGCCCACAAGACAGAAGGCAGGAUGAGCCCUGGAGGUGGCUCUUGGAGGAGAUGAGCAUUUAAUUUCUCGCAGGGAGAUGCUGCUGCUGUCCUGACUGGGAGGAGGGUGAGGGCGAUGGGUGUGGCCCCAGAGCUGGUGGUUUCCCCUCCCCUGCCCCCUGCCACUCUCUAGGCCAGCCUCGGAUGACCUUCUUGACCUGCAGCAGCUCAUGGACUGGGGACAAGGAGCCCCUGGCUUCUCCUUGCCUCAUCCUUGCCUCCAAGUUAUUGAGCCUCUCUGGGCCUCAGUGUUGCCAUCUGUAAAAUGGUGGACUACAUGGUCUGUAAAGGGCCUUCCAUCCA
This is an RNA transcript of Eubalaena glacialis (North Atlantic right whale), 3638 nucleotides long. It is a transcript of the gene named ALS2 C-terminal like, with no coding region annotated. NCBI's taxonomy places the organism in Eukaryota, Metazoa, Chordata, Mammalia, Artiodactyla, Balaenidae. The transcript is spliced from 28 exons. The record is from RefSeq and is a predicted model, not a curated record.